Molecule: ribosomal RNA, 292 nt
Filed under: uncultured bacterium
Lineage: Bacteria
Description: partial 16S ribosomal RNA
Source: RNAcentral
GGACUACUCGGGUUUCUAAUCCUGUUUGCUCCCCACGCUUUCGCACCUGAGCGUCAGUACCGAGCCAGAUGGCCGCCUUCGCCACUGGUGUUCUUCCUAAUAUCUACGAAUUUCACCUCUACACUAGGAAUUCCGCCAUCCUCUCUCGGACUCAAGCGUUCCCGUUUCAAAGGCAAUUCUGGAGUUGAGCCCCAGGCUUUCACCUCUGACAAAGAACACCGCCUACGUGCGCUUUACGCCCAGUAAUUCCGAACAACGCUAGCCCCCUUCGUAUUACCGCGGCUGCUGGCAC